RNAcentral lists this ribosomal RNA (440 nucleotides) under uncultured bacterium. RNAcentral's name for it is "partial 16S ribosomal RNA". It matches the Rfam family "Bacterial small subunit ribosomal RNA", at positions 338 to 795 of the family's 1533-position model. The record is from RNAcentral.
CCUACGGGAGGCUGCAGUGGGGAAUAUUGCACAAUGGGGGGAACCCUGAUGCAGCAACGCCGCGUGGGUGAAGAAGUACUUCGGUAUGUAAAGCUCUGUCAGCAGGGAAGAAAAUGACCGUACCUGACCAAGAAGCCCCGGCGAACUACGUGCCAGCAGCCGCGGUAAUACGUAGGGGGCAAGCGUUAUCCGGAUUUACUGGGUGUAAAGGGAGCGUAGACGGCAAGGCAAGUCUGGAGUGAAAGCCCGGGGCCCAACCACGGGACUGCAUUGGAAACUGGGUUGCUGGAGUGCAGGAGGGGUAAGCGGAAUUCCUAGUGUAGCGGUGAAAUGCGUAGAUAUUAGGAGGAACACCGGUGGCGAAGGCGGCUUACUGGACUGUAACUGACGUUGAGGCUCGAAGGCGUGGGGAGCAAACAGGAUUAGAUACCCUGGUAGUC